AGAGUUUGAUCAUGGCUCAGGACGAACGCUGGCGGCGUGCUUAACACAUGCAAGUCGAACGAUGAUGACCAAAGCUUGCUUUGGUUGGAUUAGUGGCGAACGGGUGAGUAACACGUGAGUAACCUGCCCCCUUCUUCGGGAUAACCAUUGGAAACGGUGGCUAAUACCGGGUAUGACAUCAGAUCGCAUGGUUUGGUGUGGAAAGGUUUUUUCUGGUGGGGGAUGGGCUCGCGGCCUAUCAGCUUGUUGGUGGGGUGAUGGCCUACCAAGGCUUUGACGGGUAGCCGGCCUGAGAGGGCGACCGGCCACACUGGGACUGAGACACGGCCCAGACUCCUACGGGAGGCAGCAGUGGGGAAUAUUGCACAAUGGGGGAAACCCUGAUGCAGCGACGCCGCGUGGGGGAUGAAGGCCUUCGGGUUGUAAACCCCUUUCAGUAAGGAACAAGGCCAUGAUUGUUGUUGUGGUUGAGGGUACUUGCAGAAGAAGCGCCGGCUAACUACGUGCCAGCAGCCGCGGUAAUACGUAGGGCGCAAGCGUUGUCCGGAAUUAUUGGGCGUAAAGAGCUCGUAGGCGGUUUGUCGCGUCUGUCGUGAAAUCCCGAUGCUUAACGUCGGGCUUGCGGUGGGUACGGGCAGGCUGGAGUGCGGUAGGGGUGACUGGAAUUCCUGGUGUAGCGGUGGAAUGCGCAGAUAUCAGGAGGAACACCGAUGGCGAAGGCAGGUCACUGGGCCGUUACUGACGCUGAGGAGCGAAAGCAUGGGGAGCGAACAGGAUUAGAUACCCUGGUAGUCCAUGCCGUAAACGUUGGGCACUAGGUGUGGGGGAUUGUUCCACGAUUCCUGUACCGUAGCUAACGCAUUAAGUGCCCCGCCUGGGGAGUACGGCCGCAAGGCUAAAACUCAAAUGAAUUGACGG
RNAcentral lists this ribosomal RNA (918 nucleotides) under uncultured bacterium. Its description in RNAcentral is "bacterial SSU rRNA". It matches the Rfam family "Bacterial small subunit ribosomal RNA", at positions 8 to 916 of the family's 1533-position model. The record is from RNAcentral.